RNAcentral lists this ribosomal RNA (250 nucleotides) under uncultured bacterium. Its description in RNAcentral is "partial 16S ribosomal RNA". It matches the Rfam family "Bacterial small subunit ribosomal RNA", at positions 779 to 1030 of the family's 1533-position model. The record is from RNAcentral.
UAGAUACCCUGGUAGUCCGCACAGUAAACGCUGGAUGCCCGUUGUUAGUUCACCUAAGAAUUAGCGACCAAGCGAAAGCAUUAAGCAUCCCACCUGGGGAGUACGCCGGCAACGGUGAAACUCAAAGGAAUUGACGGGGGCCCGCACAAGCGGAGGAACAUGUGGUUUAAUUCGAUGAUACGCGAGGAACCUUACCCGGGCUUAAAUUGCAGAUGAACGAUUCAGAGAUGAAGCGGCCCUUCGGGGCAUC